CGAGGUCGGGUUCGGUAACUGGGACGAAGUCGUAACAAGGUAGCUGUACCGGAAGGUGCGGCUGGAUCACCUCCUUU
This 77-nucleotide ribosomal RNA is filed under the name Dehalococcoidia bacterium. Its description in RNAcentral is "partial 16S ribosomal RNA". It matches the Rfam family "Bacterial small subunit ribosomal RNA", at positions 1457 to 1533 of the family's 1533-position model. The record is from RNAcentral. Lineage: Bacteria; Bacillati; Chloroflexota; Dehalococcoidia.